This 253-nucleotide ribosomal RNA is filed under the name uncultured bacterium. RNAcentral describes it as "partial 16S ribosomal RNA". It matches the Rfam family "Bacterial small subunit ribosomal RNA", at positions 524 to 776 of the family's 1533-position model. The record is from RNAcentral.
UACGAAGGGGGCGAGCGUUGUUCGGAAUUACUGGGCGUAAAGGGCGCGCAGGCGGCUCGACAAGUCAGAUGUGAAAGCCCCGGGCUUAACUCGGGAAGUGCUUUUGAUACUGCAGAGCUUGAAUGUGGGAGAGGGUAGUGGAAUUCCAGGUGUAGCGGUGAAAUGCGUAGAUAUCUGGAGGAACACCGGUGGCGAAGGCGGCAUCCUGGACCGGUAUUGACGCUGAGGCGCGAAAGCCAGGGGAGCAAACGGG